Molecule: ribosomal RNA, 460 nt
Filed under: uncultured bacterium
Lineage: Bacteria
Description: partial 16S ribosomal RNA
Rfam family: Bacterial small subunit ribosomal RNA
Source: RNAcentral
CCUACGGGAGGCAGCAGUGAGGAAUAUUGGUCAAUGGACGCGAGUCUGAACCAGCCAAGUAGCGUGAAGGAUGACUGCCCUAUGGGUUGUAAACUUCUUUUAUAUGGGAAUAAAGUGUGCCACGUGUGGGAUUUUGUAUGUACCUUAUGAAUAAGGAUCGGCUAACUCCGUGCCAGCAGCCGCGGUAAUACGGAGGAUCCGAGCGUUAUCCGGAUUUAUUGGGUUUAAAGGUAGCGUAGGUGGAUUGUUAAGUCAGUUGUGAAAGUUUGCGGCUCAACCGUAAAAUUGCAGUUGAAACUGGCAGUCUUGAGUACAGUAGAGGUGGGCGGAAUUCGUGGUGUAGCGGUGAAAUGCUUAGAUAUAACGAAGAACUCCGAUGGCGAAGGCAGUUCACUGGACUGCAACUGACACUGAGGCGCGAAAGUGUGGGUAUCAAACAGGAUUAGAUACCCGAGUAGUC